UUUCUAAUCGCAAUUCAACAGAACGAAAUUUCCACUGUGCCGCUUAAUUUCAGUCAAUUUAUGUCUCGCGUAUAUGGCGAUCCAAAGCUAAUCCAGAAACGUUUUUUACCUCAAAUUUUUUGCCAGCUUCACGAAGUAGAUUCUCUGUACCCUCAAAUAAUGGUUGAUAGCACGUUAGCUGAACUUACGAGUUUUACUUUGUGGAAUGAACAUAUUCACGACGAUUUGGAUUCGCAUGCAAGAUGUUUUAGUGCGGAGCUGUUCCUUUCACUAAGCUUCUCAGGGGUUCUAUCGAUGGAUAAUCUUGAUAACGAACUUAACACACCAGCUCGACCGCCCUUGCAGCUUGGACUUCGCUGAAUUGUAUCUUCUGGCAAUACUGAAGAAGUACAAAAUUGCUACGAAGACAAACUAUGCGACGUAUUUCAGAUAUUUGGAACAGCUGUGUGAUUUGUACAUGAGCAACUUGGAGACACUGGCAAGUGAAAGUAAAAGGAACCAAAAGCGACUAGGAUGCGUUCUUUUGAAACCAUCGCUGGUUGGGGCAGUGUUGACUCUUCUAGUUCUGAGAGAAUUCUUCAUGGACACAUCAAUAGACAUGGACGAGAUGUACAGAUGUCUAAAAGAGGUGUCUGAUUGCUCUUUAACAGAAAUAGCUAAACUUGCCAAACAUUUCAUCAAUACUUGUUUUGUUGACAUUGAAAGUGAUGAUGGUUCGAGUUAAUGGUUUACAGAAUUAAUUUUUUUUACUUGAACUCAGAAAUUAUAUAUUUGGAAUUUA
Long non-coding RNA from Symsagittifera roscoffensis, 781 nucleotides. RefSeq lists it as uncharacterized. Lineage: Eukaryota; Metazoa; Xenacoelomorpha; Acoela; Convolutidae. The transcript is spliced from 4 exons. The record is from RefSeq and is a predicted model, not a curated record.